AGAGUUUGAUCCUGGCUCAGAWYGAACGCUGGUAGCGUGGAUUAGGCAUGCAAGUCGAACGGGAUCCGUGAAGCAGCAAUGCAGAUCGGUGAGAGUGGCGGAAGGGCGAGGAACACGUGGGCAAUCUGUCCUAAAGGUGGGGAAAACCUCGGGAAACUGAGGCUAAUACCGAAUGCGUCCGGGGGAGGGCAUCCCCCCCCGGGCAAAGGGGGCCGCAAGGCUCCCCCUUUUCGAGGAGCUCGCGCACCAUCAGCUAGUUGGCGGGGUUACGGCCCACCAAGGCCUACGGUUAGCUGGUCUGAGAGGAUGGCCAGCCGCACUGGGACUGAGAUACUGCCCAGACUCCUACGGGAGGCUGCAGUCGAGGAUCAUUCGCAAUGGGGGAAACCCUGACGAUGCGACGCUGCGUGGAGGACGACGGCCUUCGGGUUGUAAACUCCUGUCAUCGGGGAAAAGGCGAGGGAGCCCAACACGCUCCUUAGUUGAUGGUACCCGAAGAGGAAGCGACGGCUAACUCUGUGCCAGCAGCCGCGGUAAUACAGAGGUCGCGAGCGUUGUUCGGAUUUACUGGGCGUAAAGGGCGCGUAGGCGGCGAGGCGUGUCGGAUGUGAAAUCUCCGGGCUCAACCCGGAAAGUGCGUCCGAAACUGCCCCGCUCGAGUGCGGGAGGGGGAAGGGGAAUAUAGGGUGUAGCGGUGAAAUGCGUUGAUAUCCUAUAGAACACCGGAGGCGAAGGCGCCUUCCUGGAACGCAACUGACGCUGAGGCGCGAAAGUCGGGGGAGCAAACAGGAUUAGAUACCCUGGUAGUCCCGACCUUAAACGGUGCGCAUUCGGGGUGGGGGGAUUCCAACCCCCCCGUCCCUGAGCUAACGCGUUAAAUGCGCCGCCUGGGGAGUACGGCCGCAAGGCUAAAACUCAAAGAAAUUGACGGGGGCCCGCACAAGCAGAGGAGCAUGUGGCUUAAUUCGAUGCAACGCGAAGAACCUUACCUGGGUUUGACAUCUAGCUGCGCGGACCGUGAAAGCGGUCCUCCUUCGAGGGAGCUAGACAGGUGCUGCAUGGCUGUCGUCAGUUCGUGCCGUGAGGUGUUUGGUUAAGUCCAGCAACGAACGCAACCCCUGUGGGCAGUUGCCAGCGGGCAACGCCGGGGACUCUGUCCAGACUGCCGGUUCACGCCGGAGGAAGGUGGGGACGACGUCAAGUCAGUAUGGCCCUUACAUCCAGGGCUGCACACGUGCUACAAUGGCCGGUACAGAGGGCAGCGAGGCCGCAAGGCGGAGCCAACCCCAAAGAGCCGGCCCCAGUUCGGAUCGGGGUCUGCAACCCGACCCCGUGAAGUCGGAUUUGCUAGUAACGGCGCAUCAGCUACGGCGCCGUGAAUGCGUUCCCGGGCCUUGUACACACCGCCCGUCACAUCAUGAAAGCCGUCUGCACCCGAAGCCGGGCGUUAGGUCCGUCUAAGGUGUGGGUGGUGAUUGGGAUGAAGUCGUAACAAGGUAGCC
Molecule: ribosomal RNA, 1502 nt
Filed under: uncultured rumen bacterium
Lineage: Bacteria
Description: bacterial SSU rRNA
Rfam family: Bacterial small subunit ribosomal RNA
Source: RNAcentral